GGAGGAUGCGAGCGUUAUCCGGAUUUAUUGGGUUUAAAGGGUGCGUAGGCGGCGCGUUAAGUUAGUGGUCAAAUGUCGGGGCUCCACCCCGGACCGCCAUUAAAACUGGCGCGCUCGAGUCCAGACGAGGCAGGCGGAAUAAGUUAAGUAGCGGUGAAAUGCUUAGAUAUAACUUAGAACCCCGAUAGCGAAGGCAGCUUGCCAGACUGGGACUGACGCUGAAGCACGAGAGCGUGGGUAUCGAA
This 245-nucleotide ribosomal RNA is filed under the name uncultured bacterium. Its description in RNAcentral is "partial 16S ribosomal RNA". It matches the Rfam family "Bacterial small subunit ribosomal RNA", at positions 527 to 772 of the family's 1533-position model. The record is from RNAcentral.